AUCAUGCCCCUUAUGAUUUGGGCUACACACGUGCUACAAUGGACAAUACAAAGGGCAGCGAAACCGCGAGGUCAAGCAAAUCCCAUAAAGUUGUUCUCAGUUCGGAUUGUAGUCUGCAACUCGACUAUAUGAAGCUGGAAUCGCUAGUAAUCGUAGAUCAGCAUGCUACGGUGAAUACGUUCCCGGGUCUUGUACACACCGCCCGUCACACCACGAGAGUUUGUAACACCCGAAGCCGGUGGAGUAACCAUUUGGAGCUAGCCGUCGAAGGUGGGACAAAUGAUUGGGGUGAAGUCGUAACAAGGUAGCCGUAUCGGAAGGUGCGGCUGGAUCACCUCCUUUCUAAGGA
RNAcentral lists this ribosomal RNA (349 nucleotides) under Staphylococcus epidermidis NIHLM021. RNAcentral's name for it is "bacterial SSU rRNA". It matches the Rfam family "Bacterial small subunit ribosomal RNA", at positions 1192 to 1533 of the family's 1533-position model. RNAcentral also lists the same sequence under 1 other name. The record is from RNAcentral. Lineage: Bacteria; Bacillati; Bacillota; Bacilli; Caryophanales; Staphylococcaceae.